GAUGAACGCUAGCGGCAGGCUUAACACAUGCAAGUCGAGGGGUAGAAGCAGCUUGCUGCUUUGAGACCGGCGCACGGGUGCGUAACGCGUAUGCAAUCUACCUUUUACAGAGGGAUAGCCCAGAGAAAUUUGGAUUAAUACCUCAUAGUAUGUGAGAAUCGCAUGGUUUUCACAUUAAAGUUCCAACGGUAAAAGAUGAGCAUGCGUCCCAUUAGCUAGAUGGUAAGGUAACGGCUUACCAUGGCGACGAUGGGUAGGGGUCCUGAGAGGGAGAUCCCCCACACUGGUACUGAGACACGGACCAGACUCCUACGGGAGGCAGCAGUGAGGAAUAUUGGACAAUGGGCGCAAGCCUGAUCCAGCAAUGCCGCGUGCAGGAAGAAGGCC
Molecule: ribosomal RNA, 387 nt
Filed under: uncultured bacterium
Lineage: Bacteria
Description: bacterial SSU rRNA
Rfam family: Bacterial small subunit ribosomal RNA
Source: RNAcentral